This 301-nucleotide ribosomal RNA is filed under the name uncultured bacterium. RNAcentral describes it as "partial 16S ribosomal RNA". It matches the Rfam family "Bacterial small subunit ribosomal RNA", at positions 509 to 807 of the family's 1533-position model. The record is from RNAcentral.
CAGCCGCCGCGGUAAUACGGAGGGUGCAAGCGUUAAUCGGAAUUACUGGGCGUAAAGCGCACGCAGGCGGUCUGACAAGUCAGAUGUGAAAUCCCCGGGCUUAACCUGGGAACUGCAUUUGAAACUGUCAGGCUGGAGUCUUGUAGAGGGGGGUAGAAUUCCAGGUGUAGCGGUGAAAUGCGUAGAGAUCUGGAGGAAUACCGAUGGCGAAGGCAGCCAUCUGGCCUAAUACUGACGCUGAGGUACGAAAGCAUGGGGAGCAAACAGGAUUAGAUACCCGGGUAGUCCCUGUCUCUUAUAC